RNAcentral lists this ribosomal RNA (433 nucleotides) under uncultured bacterium. RNAcentral describes it as "partial 16S ribosomal RNA". It matches the Rfam family "Bacterial small subunit ribosomal RNA", at positions 29 to 507 of the family's 1533-position model. The record is from RNAcentral.
AACGAACGCUGGCGGCAUGCCUAACACAUGCAAGUCGAACGAGACCUUCGGGUCUAGUUGCGCACGGCUGCGUAACGCGUGGGAAUCUGCCCUUGGGUUCGGAAUAACAGUUGGAAACGUCUGCUAAUACCGGAUGAUGACGUAAGUCCAAAGAUUUAUCGCCCAAGGAUGAGCCCGCGUAGGAUUAGCUAGUUGGUGAGGUAAAGGCUCACCAAGGCGACGAUCCUUAGCUGGUCUGAGAGGAUGAUCAGCCACACUGGGACUGAGACACGGCCCAGACUCCUACGGGAGGCAGCAGUGGGGAAUAUUGGAGAAUGGGCGAAAGCCUAAUACAGCAAUGCCGCGUGAGUGAUCAAGGCAUUAGGGUUGUAAAGCUCUUUUACCCGGGAUGAUAAUGACAGUACCGGAAGAAUAAGCUCCGGCUAACUCCGUG